UGUGUUGUCUGGAAAUGAAGGAGAACCCUCUGAUGCAGGAGUUUCCCAGGCCUGAAUUCCCAGGAUUUAAGCAAAAGGAUUUCUGGGCACCAUAACAAGCCAUAGAAUCAAGAGGAUGGAAAAGACCUCCAAGAUCAUCGAGUCCAACUGCAGUGUGGACAUUCUGCUUUUCCUAAGGAGUGAAACUCCUCACAGGGCUCUGCACUCUGCAGUGACUGAUGUGACUCGUUGUGGGUCUCAGUGCAACAACCACAGCUCUGAUUUAUGGAAUGAGACUCAAG
Long non-coding RNA from Parus major (Great Tit), 281 nucleotides. RefSeq lists it as uncharacterized. NCBI's taxonomy places the organism in Eukaryota, Metazoa, Chordata, Aves, Passeriformes, Paridae. The transcript is spliced from 3 exons. The record is from RefSeq and is a predicted model, not a curated record.